AGAUAACCUAAUAUUUUUAUUGGCACUAAUAUUCGUAUUGAAGGCUUUGUCAAUGUUCUGUCUUAAGGAGACAGUUUAUAUUGCAAGCCUUUCUUUUUUCUGUUUAAAAAUGUAUAGGUAAUAAAUACAGAUUACAAAGAACUAAAGGUUUUCUUUCAGGAUUUGAAACCAAACAGAUAGAUUUUAUUACUCUUUUCUUAUUAGCACAAAUCUUAAGGGUUAUCCCUUGGGAUGGGGUCUCUGGCAGUAUAUUAACGAUAACAUUAAUGGGAAAGAGAAACGUCGCUUUGCUUUGAUAGCCCAUCUUUGUGCGCAACAUGUGAUGAUGUCACUGUUUAGCAAUGAAGGUCUCAUGCUGUUGUACUGGAGACUGGAGGACUGGAAUUUUAGUACCACAAGCCUGACCCAGCUCUAGAGACGGCAUUUGGCAUAUUUCUCCUUGUUUUAUUGUGCCCACUUUGUUAUUGUUUGGGUUAGGCUGGCCUGAAAUAAAGGAUUCAGAAGCAAUAAAGAUGAAUAUAGACUGUCUGGUGUUUGAGGGUUAAGACUUUUUUUGUGUGUGUAGAGUUACAGUAUGGUUAUUUAAUAGGGAAUUCUCACAUAUGGGGGUGAAAAAAUUAUAACCUAAGAACUGAUAAUAAUAUAAGUAAAUUGGGUAGAUUUUUUUUAAACCUACUAUAGAUUUUAUUUGCAGCUGAAUAUUUAACAGUUUAUUGGGUGAGGCCUACAGGCUUGAAAUUGCACGUCUAUGAAUUUAAGCAUCCCAUCUUCAACACCUUGUAUCCUGUUCCACUGUCUUUGCUAUUUUUUAACUUGCAGCAACAGACGAGGGGCUCUUAAACCAUCUGUUAACCUUUUUUUUUUCCUUUUUUUUUUUAAACCAUGCAGAGUCGCUUAAGGCAAGAAGACCCAGAGCAAGCAAGACUGAAACAAAAAGCAAAGGAGGCUGUGGAAGCGGCCAGCGGUACCCAGCCCUCUUAUCCAGGCUGUACUCAAGACAGAAAAUCACAAGAGUCAACCUCAGGGAUUUCAUCUUCUACUUGGAACAGGAAAGAAAAACAAGCCACUAUCUUCUGCUCUAUCAAGCCUUGCUUAAAUAAAGCCAAUCAUUUCCCUGGCUUCCUCAGAGGGAAGCUCAGAUGAACAUUUAAAAUCUGUCAUUUUCAUGUGCCUUCUCUUUUUGUUUUCUCAGAUGUCAGGCUUUGGUUUAUGUAAAAAUUAAGAUGCAAUAAAUCCUCCCAGCCAGAAACGAAAGCA
Molecule: long non-coding RNA, 1257 nt
Filed under: Phascolarctos cinereus (koala)
Lineage: Eukaryota; Metazoa; Chordata; Mammalia; Diprotodontia; Phascolarctidae
Description: lncRNA (ENSPCIG00000023614.2)
Source: RNAcentral